UUAAGCGACUAAGCGUACACGGUGGAUGCCUAGGCAGUCAGAGGCGAUGAAGGGCGUGCUAAUCUGCGAAAAGCGUCGGUAAGCUGAUAUGAAGCGUUAUAACCGACGAUACCCGAAUGGGGAAACCCAGUGCAAUACGUUGCACUAUCGUUAGAUGAAUACAUAGUCUAACGAGGCGAACCGGGGGAACUGAAACAUCUAAGUACCCCGAGGAAAAGAAAUCAACCGAGAUUCCCCCAGUAGCGGCGAGCGAACGGGGAGGAGCCCAGAGUCUGAAUCAGUUUGUGUGUUAGUGGAAGCGUCUGGAAAGUCGCACGGUACAGGGUGAUAGUCCCGUACACCAAAAUGCACAGGCUGUGAACUCGAUGAGUAGGGCGGGACACGUGACAUCCUGUCUGAAUAUGGGGGGACCAUCCUCCAAGGCUAAAUACUCCUGACUGACCGAUAGUGAACCAGUACCGUGAGGGAAAGGCGAAAAGAACCCCGGCGAGGGGAGUGAAAUAGAACCUGAAACCGUGUACGUACAAGCAGUGGGAGCACCUUCGUGGUGUGACUGCGUACCUUUUGUAUAAUGGGUCAGCGACUUAUAUUUUGUAGCAAGGUUAACCGAAUAGGGGAGCCGUAGGGAAACCGAGUCUUAACUGGGCGUCUAGUUGCAAGGUAUAGACCCGAAACCCGGUGAUCUAGCCAUGGGCAGGUUGAAGGUUGGGUAACACUAACUGGAGGACCGAACCGACUAAUGUUGAAAAAUUAGCGGAUGACUUGUGGCUGGGGGUGAAAGGCCAAUCAAACCGGGAGAUAGCUGGUUCUCCCCGAAAGCUAUUUAGGUAGCGCCUCGUGAACUCAUCUUCGGGGGUAGAGCACUGUUUCGGCUAGGGGGCCAUCCCGGCUUACCAAACCGAUGCAAACUCCGAAUACCGAAGAAUGUUAUCACGGGAGACACACGGCGGGUGCUAACGUCCGUCGUGAAGAGGGAAACAACCCAGACCGCCAGCUAAGGUCCCAAAGUCAUGGUUAAGUGGGAAACGAUGUGGGAAGGCACAGACAGCCAGGAUGUUGGCUUAGAAGCAGCCAUCAUUUAAAGAAAGCGUAAUAGCUCACUGGUCGAGUCGGCCUGCGCGGAAGAUGUAACGGGGCUAAACCAUGCACCGAAGCUGCGGCAGCGACACUUAGGUGUUGUUGGGUAGGGGAGCGUUCUGUAAGCCGUUGAAGGUGACCUGUGAGGGUUGCUGGAGGUAUCAGAAGUGCGAAUGCUGACAUAAGUAACGAUAAUGCGGGUGAAAAACCCGCACGCCGGAAGACCAAGGGUUCCUGUCCAACGUUAAUCGGGGCAGGGUGAGUCGACCCCUAAUGCGAGGCUGAAAAGCGUAGUCGAUGGGAAACAGGUUAAUAUUCCUGUACUUGGUGUUACUGCGAAGGGGGGACGGAGAAGGCUAGGCUGGCCGGGCGACGGUUGUCCCGGUUUAAGCGUGUAGGGGGAGUGACCAGGUUAAUCCGGUUGCUUAUCAACCCUGAGGCGUGAUGACGAUGCACCACGGUGCAGAAGCAGUUGAUGCCAUGCUUCCAGGAAAAGCCUCUAAGCAUCAGGUAACAUUAAAUCGUACCCCAAACCGACACAGGUGGUCAGGUAGAGAAUACUCAGGCGCUUGAGAGAACUCGGGUGAAGGAACUAGGCAAAAUGGUGCCGUAACUUCGGGAGAAGGCACGCUGGCGUUAGGUGAAAGGACUAGCUCCUGGAGCUGAAGCCAGUCGCAGAUACCAGCUGGCUGCAACUGUUUAAUAAAAACACAGCACUGUGCAAACACGAAAGUGGACGUAUACGGUGUGACGCCUGCCCGGUGCUGGAAGGUUAAUUGAUGGGGUCAGCCGCAAGGCGAAGCUCUUGAUCGAAGCCCCAGUAAACGGCGGCCGUAACUAUAACGGUCCUAAGGUAGCGAAAUUCCUUGUCGGGUAAGUUCCGACCUGCACGAAUGGCGUAAUGAUGGCCAGGCUGUCUCCACCCGAGACUCAGUGAAAUUGAACUCGCUGUGAAGAUGCAGUGUACCCGCGGCAAGACGGAAAGACCCCGUGAACCUUUACUAUAGCUUGACACUGAACAUUGAGCCUUGAUGUGUAGGAUAGGUGGGAGGCCUUGAAGUGUGGACGCCAGUCUGCAUGGAGCCAACCUUGAAAUACCACCCUUUAAUGUUUGAUGUUCUAACUCGGCCCCAUGAUCUGGGGUGAGGACAGUGUCUGGUGGGUAGUUUGACUGGGGCGGUCUCCUCCCAAAGAGUAACGGAGGAGCACGAAGGUUAGCUAAUCACGGUCGGACAUCGUGAGGUUAGUGCAAAGGCAUAAGCUAGCUUGACUGCGAGAGUGACGGCUCGAGCAGGUACGAAAGUAGGUCUUAGUGAUCCGGUGGUUCUGAAUGGAAGGGCCAUCGCUCAACGGAUAAAAGGUACUCCGGGGAUAACAGGCUGAUACCGCCCAAGAGUUCAUAUCGACGGCGGUGUUUGGCACCUCGAUGUCGGCUCAUCACAUCCUGGGGCUGAAGUAGGUCCCAAGGGUAUGGCUGUUCGCCAUUUAAAGUGGUACGCGAGCUGGGUUUAGAACGUCGUGAGACAGUUCGGUCCCUAUCUGCCGUGGGCGUUGGAAGAUUGAGAGGGGCUGCUCCUAGUACGAGAGGACCGGAGUGGACGAAUCACUGGUGUUCGGGUUGUCAUGCCAAUGGCAUUGCCCGGUAGCUAAAUUCGGAAGAGAUAACCGCUGAAAGCAUCUAAGCGGGAAACUUGCCUCGAGAUGAGUCUUCCCUGGGACUUAUAGUCCCCUGAAGGAACGUUAAAGACUAUGACGUUGAUAGGCUGGGUGUGUAAGUGCAGCGAUGUAUUGAGCUAACCAGUACUAAUGAUCCGUGAGGCUUAACCUU
RNAcentral lists this ribosomal RNA (2905 nucleotides) under Yersinia pestis Angola. RNAcentral's name for it is "bacterial LSU rRNA". It matches the Rfam family "Bacterial large subunit ribosomal RNA". The record is from RNAcentral. Lineage: Bacteria; Pseudomonadati; Pseudomonadota; Gammaproteobacteria; Enterobacterales; Yersiniaceae.